UUUGCCCUGCGAUGUGCGUGAGGCCCGAGAGUUUUGUUCCUAACACCAACAAAAUGGGAAACCAAUAACAAUGUACUGAGUGGCAGCCGCUAAGCCGGAUUCGCGAGGUACAUAGUGCGGUUACCCACCUGCAGAGAGCAGGUUCAAAACAAAGGGUUAACGGCAUUGUGGGGGUAAU
This 178-nucleotide non-coding RNA is filed under the name Peptococcaceae bacterium. Its description in RNAcentral is "6S RNA". It matches the Rfam family "6S / SsrS RNA". From Rfam's summary of the family: E. coli 6S RNA was the first non coding RNA to be sequenced, but its function was unknown until recently. It consists of 184 nucleotides that fold into an extended hairpin structure with a large single-stranded internal bulge. The record is from RNAcentral. Lineage: Bacteria; Bacillati; Bacillota; Clostridia; Eubacteriales; Peptococcaceae.